RNAcentral lists this ribosomal RNA (424 nucleotides) under uncultured bacterium. RNAcentral describes it as "bacterial SSU rRNA". It matches the Rfam family "Bacterial small subunit ribosomal RNA", at positions 355 to 770 of the family's 1533-position model. The record is from RNAcentral.
UGAGGAAUCUUGCGCAAUGGGGGAAACCCUGACGCAGCAACGCCGCGUGAGUGAGGGAGGUCUUCGGGUCGUAAAGCUCUGUCAGGCGGGAAGAAAUGCAUGGAGGUGAACAGCCGCCAUGCUUGACGGUACCGCCAGAGGAAGCACCGGCUAACUCCGUGCCAGCAGCCGCGGUAAUACGGGGGGUGCAAGCGUUGUUCGGAAUCAUUGGGCGUAAAGAGCGUGUAGGCGGCUUGGUAAGUCAGAUGUGAAAGCCCUGGGCUCAGCCCGGGAAGUGCAUUUGAAACUGCCAGGCUCGAGUAGGGGAGAGGGAAGUGGAAUUCCUGGUAUAGAGGUGAAAUUCGUAGAUAUCAGGAGGAACACCGGUGGCGAAGGCGACUUCCUGGCCCUAUACUGACGCUGAGACGCGAGAGCGUGGGUAGCA